AGUGAACGCUGGCGGUAGGCCUAACACAUGCAAGUCGAACGACCACACAGUAAGAGUUCUCUCCUACGGGUGGCGAGUGGCGGACGGGUGAGGAAUACAUCAGAAUCUACUUUUACUUGGAGAAUUACGUAGGAAAACUUACGCUAAUACCGCAUACAUUCUACGGCUUAAAGCAGUAGUUCAUGGCGCCUUGGCUGAUACAUUUAGCCGAAGUCGCAUUAGCUAGUUGGGUGGGUAAAGGCUCACCAAGGCGACGAUGCGUAGCUGAUCUGAGAGGAUGAUCAGCCACACUGGAACUGAGACACGGUCCAGACUCCUACGGGAGGCAGCAGUAGGGAAUAUUGGACAAUGGGCGCAAGCCUGACGCAGCAAUGCCGCGUGAGUGAAGAAGGUCUUCGGGUCGUAAAACUCUUUUAUUAGGAAAGAAAAGAUGUAGAAGAAACCAUGGCUGUUCUGACGGUACCCAAAGAGUAAGCAACGGCUAACUUCGUG
This 492-nucleotide ribosomal RNA is filed under the name uncultured bacterium. Its description in RNAcentral is "partial 16S ribosomal RNA". It matches the Rfam family "Bacterial small subunit ribosomal RNA", at positions 29 to 507 of the family's 1533-position model. The record is from RNAcentral.